UAAGGAAUAUUGGACAAUGGAGGCAACUCUGAUCCAGCCAUGCCGCGUGAAGGAAUAAUUCACUAUGGGUUGUAAACUUCUUUUAGACGGGACAAAACCCCUUUACGUGUAAAGGGUUGAUGGUACUGUCAGAAUAAGCAUCGGCUAACUUCGUGCCAGCAGCCGCGGUAAUACGAAGGAUGCAAGCGUUAUCCGGAAUUAUUGGGUUUAAAGGGUGCGCAGGCGGACUAAUGAGUCAGUGGUGAAAGCCUGCAGCUUAACUGCAGAAUUUCCAUUGAUACUGUUAGUCUUGGGUUCAUUUGAAGUAGGCGGAAUGUUUCAUGUAGCGGUGUAAUGCUUAGAUAUGAGACAGAACACCGAUUGCGAAAGCAGCUUGCUAAGCUAUAACUGACGCUGAGGCACGAAAGC
Molecule: ribosomal RNA, 408 nt
Filed under: uncultured bacterium
Lineage: Bacteria
Description: bacterial SSU rRNA
Rfam family: Bacterial small subunit ribosomal RNA
Source: RNAcentral